GUGCAAACUCUCGAUAUCAUUUUACACCACUCACGUCAUCCACCAAAUCAGAGAGAGAGAGAGAGAGAUAAAGCCGCCGGCAAAGGAGGAAGCCGACAUCCGGUGACCAGCCUUGGGUCCAUGAAACUUCGGCGAGUCAGAUCUGUCGUGCAUAUCCCGUUUUGGUGUAACUCCUACCUAUUGCUUCACUGCUCCGGCAACUGAUGAAGGAUUACGGUGGUUUUGGUUUUGAGCUGGUGGUUGAUGAUGGGUUUUUGUUGCUCGCCGAGUGAAACGGGUAGAGGUGAUUCCAACAAGUAAGAUUGUCACAAUUGAUGGGUUUUUGCAGCUGUAAGCAAUUGGGGGUAGUAAUCACUGGUAGCUGAGACGACUGCCGGCGGCAGAAACGACUCCGACAGUCGGACACUGGUCAAGAGAGGAGAGAACCCUCUCGAUUUCAACUUCAACUUCCAAGUUUGGGAUCUCUAAUCUUUUCUCAUCAAAAACUUCCGGUGAGUGAAGAACCAUUGUUGCUGCAACUCUGCAAGGGACACUUUGGGUCAGGUAGUCAUCUUUGGUAGUGGGAGCUUUGGUUCUUAAAGUGUAAGGCUUGAUUCACAUAGGAGAGACACUCUCAGGUAAUCCUAAUGAACCACCUUCAACCAAAAGGACUCUGAUAUCGAUGGAUUUAAAAAUUGUUUUCCACACUUAACCUAACAAUUCAAUAUCCAAAUUUUUGUAAUGGGAAAUUUUUAAUUCCCCUCACCUGUAUAGUUAUUUUGGUUAAAUUAUAUUUAUCAUAUGUAUUAUAGUUGAAGAGUUAAAGAUUAAAAAAGUUGCAGUUUCUUUAUAUAUACAAUAUUAAAAUUCUUGAAUCUUAUUGUUCAAUAAAGUUCGUAUAUAAUUUUCGAAGUAA
Molecule: long non-coding RNA, 895 nt
Organism: Helianthus annuus (common sunflower)
Lineage: Eukaryota; Viridiplantae; Streptophyta; Magnoliopsida; Asterales; Asteraceae
Exons: 2
Source: RefSeq, a predicted model, not a curated record